AUCUGUCAAGCUGGAGAAAACC
This 22-nucleotide microRNA is filed under the name Marchantia polymorpha subsp. ruderalis. Lineage: Eukaryota; Viridiplantae; Streptophyta; Marchantiopsida; Marchantiales; Marchantiaceae. The record is from RNAcentral.